Molecule: ribosomal RNA, 199 nt
Filed under: uncultured bacterium
Lineage: Bacteria
Description: partial 16S ribosomal RNA
Rfam family: Bacterial small subunit ribosomal RNA
Source: RNAcentral
ACGCUCGACACCUACGGGAGGCGCAGUGGGGAAUAUUGCACAAUGGGGGAAACCCUGGAUGCAGCGACGCCGCGUGAGCGAAGAAGUAUUUCGGUAUGUAAAGCUCUAUCAGACAGGGAAGAAACUGACGGUACCUGACUAAGAAGCACCGGCUAAAUACGUGCUAGCAGCCGCGGUAAUCUGAGCGGGCUGGCAAGGC